This 546-nucleotide ribosomal RNA is filed under the name fungal sp. Sen005. RNAcentral describes it as "eukaryotic LSU rRNA". The stretch from base 240 to 393 matches the Rfam family "5.8S ribosomal RNA". Lineage: Eukaryota; Fungi. The record is from RNAcentral.
CAUUACUAGAGCAAAGGAUAGACAGCGCCCGCGGAGCUCGCUCCCGGGGCUACCCUACUCCCGUAGGGUUUAGAGUCGUCGGGCCUCUCGGAGAAGCUCGGUCCUGAACUCCACCCUUGAAUAAACUACCUUUGUUGCUUUGGCGGGCCGCCUCGUGCCAGCGGCUUCGGCUGUUGAGUGCCCGCCAGAGGACCCCAACUCUUGUUUUUAGUGAUGUCUGAGUACUAUAUAAUAGUUAAAACUUUCAACAACGGAUCUCUUGGUUCUGGCAUCGAUGAAGAACGCAGCGAAAUGCGAUAAGUAAUGUGAAUUGCAGAAUUCAGUGAAUCAUCGAAUCUUUGAACGCACAUUGCGCCCUCUGGUAUUCCGGGGGGCAUGCCUGUUCGAGCGUCAUUAUAACCACUCAAGCUCUCGCUUGGUAUUGGGGUUCGCGGUUUCGCGGCCCCUAAAAUCAGUGGCGGUGCCUGUCGGCUCUACGCGUAGUAAUACUCCUCGCGAUUGAGUCCGGUAGGUCUACUUGCCAGCAACCCCUAAUUUUUUUAAGGU